CAGCAGCUGCAAGGUCAGAAGUUUGAUAUGCUGAGGGAAAAGUGUCCUGGCAUUGCAUAUCUGAAGAUUGUGUUGAAUCAGGGAUAUGUAAAAGGUUAAAUGGGAGAAGAGCAGAGCGAGAGUGUGUGAGAGGAACAACUCUGCAGUCACCAAGGGCACUGCAGAAAGGAGAAAGAGGAGAAAGAGAUGUUCCACGUGCUGGAGCUCAGAUUGCCCUGCAGCCUGUGGUGCAGACCAGGGUGAGACAACUGUGUCUCUGCAGCCUGUGGAGGAGAUCCAUGGAGAAGCAGAGAUCCACCUGCAGCCCACAGAGGAGCCCCAUGCUGGAGAAAAUGGAGGCUGUGACCCUGUGGCAGACCUGUGGAGAGAAGGGCCCUGCCCCCAGGUUGGAGCAGCCUGUCCUUGGAGGACUGCACUCCAUGGAAGAGUGACCCACACUGCAGCAAUUUUGGGAGGGCUGUUGCCCAUGGGAUGGACUCAUGCUGGAGAAGUUCAUGGAGAACUGUCUCCCACAGGAGUGACCUCAGAGUGGCACAGGGGAAUGACCCCUCUCCCUGAGCUGUGGGAUAAACAACAGGGUUAGAGUUAAACAACUGACCAUAACCCAGAUUCCCUGUCUCCCUGCACCUCCAGGGUAGGAGGUUGAAUUGGGAAGGAGGGAGGGGAAGGGGGAAGGUGUUUUUAAGGUUUUAUUUUUCUUCUCAUUAUCC
Melospiza melodia melodia is the source of this 710-nucleotide long non-coding RNA. RefSeq lists it as uncharacterized. The transcript is spliced from 2 exons. The record is from RefSeq and is a predicted model, not a curated record. Lineage: Eukaryota; Metazoa; Chordata; Aves; Passeriformes; Passerellidae.